AGAGUUUGAUCCUGGCUCAGGAUGAACUCUGGCGGCGUGCCUAACACAUGCAAGUCGAACGGCACCCCUCUCCGGAGGGAAGCGAGUGGCGAACGGCUGAGUAACACGUGGAGAACCUGCCCCCUCCCCCGGGAUAGCCGCCCGAAAGGACGGGUAAUACCGGAUACCCCGGGGUGCCGCAUGGCACCCCGGCUAAAGCCCCGACGGGAGGGGAUGGCUCCGCGGCCCAUCAGGUAGACGGCGGGGUGACGGCCCACCGUGCCGACAACGGGUAGCCGGGUUGAGAGACCGACCGGCCAGAUUGGGACUGAGACACGGCCCAGACUCCUACGGGAGGCAGCAGUGGGGAAUCUUGCGCAAUGGGGGGAACCCUGACGCUGCGACGCCGCGUGCGGGACGGAGGCCUUCGGGUCGUAAACCGCUUUCAGCAGGGAAGAGUCAAGACUGUACCUGCAGAAGAAGCCCCGGCUAACUACGUGCCAGCAGCCGCGGUAAUACGUAGGGGGCGAGCGUUAUCCGGAUUCAUUGGGCGUAAAGCGCGCGUAGGCGGCCCGGCAGGCCGGGGGUCGAAGCGGGGGGCUCAACCCCCCGAAGCCCCCGGAACCUCCGCGGCUUGGGUCCGGUAGGGGAGGGUGGAACACCCGGUGUAGCGGUGGAAUGCGCAGAUAUCGGGUGGAACACCGGUGGCGAAGGCGGCCCUCUGGGCCGAGACCGACGCUGAGGCGCGAAAGCUGGGGGAGCGAACAGGAUUAGAUACCCUGGUAGUCCCAGCCGUAAACGAUGGACGCUAGGUGUGGGGGGACGAUCCCCCCGUGCCGCAGCCAACGCAUUAAGCGUCCCGCCUGGGGAGUACGGCCGCAAGGCUAAAACUCAAAGGAAUUGACGGGGGCCCGCACAAGCAGCGGAGCAUGUGGCUUAAUUCGAAGCAACGCGAAGAACCUUACCAGGCCUUGACAUCCCUUGCAGAGGUAUAGAGAUAUAUCCGAGGUUAUCAAGGAGACAGGUGGUGCAUGGUUGUCGUCAGCUCGUGUCGUGAGAUGUUGGGUUAAGUCCCGCAACGAGCGCAACCCUUGUGAUAUGUUACUAACAUUGAGUUGAGGACUCAUAUCAGACUGCCGGUGAUAAACCGGAGGAAGGUGGGGAUGACGUCAAAUCAUCAUGCCCCUUAUGGCCUGGGCUACACACGUACUACAAUGGCGUCUACAAAGAGUGGCAAGCCUGUGAAGGCAAGCGAAUCUCAUAAAGGACGUCUCAGUUCGGAUUGAAGUCUGCAACCCGACUUCAUGAAGUUGGAAUCGCUAGUAAUCGCGAAUCAGCAUGUCGCGGUGAAUACGUUCUCGGGCCUUGUACACACCGCCCGUCA
This 1363-nucleotide ribosomal RNA is filed under the name uncultured bacterium. Its description in RNAcentral is "bacterial SSU rRNA". It matches the Rfam family "Bacterial small subunit ribosomal RNA". The record is from RNAcentral.